This 404-nucleotide ribosomal RNA is filed under the name Nanobdellota archaeon. RNAcentral's name for it is "partial 23S ribosomal RNA". It matches the Rfam family "Archaeal large subunit ribosomal RNA", at positions 2577 to 2987 of the family's 2987-position model. The record is from RNAcentral. Lineage: Archaea; Nanobdellati; Nanobdellota.
ACGGCGCGGUUUGCUACUUCGAUGUCGGCUCUUCCUAUCCUGGCGGUGCAGAAGCUGCCAAGGGUGGGGGUGUUCACCCAUUAAAAGGGAUCGUGAGCUGGGUUCAGAACGCUGUGAGGCAGUUUGUUUGAUAUCUACUGGAAAUGUUGGGUGUCUGAAAGGAAGGAACUUUUAGUACGAGAGGAACGAAGGUUCGUGGCCACUGGUCGACCUGUUGUCUGACAAGGCACGCAGGGCAGCUACGCCACAAAUGAUAAGUGCUGAAUGCAUCUAAGCACGAAGCAUACCUUGAAAAGAGACACCUUAGGACAUCGCUAAAAGAGCGGUUUGAUAGAAGCGAUGUGUAAGUACCAAGGCAACGAGGUAUUAAGCAUGCGCUUACUAACGUCCACAAUUUUUGUGUU